GCUGUGACUGAGGAUUACAAGGAAAGCAAGAAGGCCAGUGCAAACUUCUUGGGAUCUAGAAGCUUUCACUCUGUUGAUAAACCUGAAAUAAAGAGUGGAAACAGAUCUCUUAAGUAUUAUUUUGAAGACAAGGAACCUAAACAACAACAACAACAACUUGUUACACAUAACCCAAAGUCUAGAGCCUUACCAAAGAGUCCUAUCCGCUUUGAGAUUGUUGACGAUAGGUACAGAGACGAUGGAAGUGUUAAGAGAUACGAUGCACGUAGAGAGACCAGAGGAAGCUCCAAAUCACUAGACCUCUCUAACAACAAGGAAACUUCCGGUUUGCCCAUUGUACGCCAUGCAAGUGAACUCAUAGGAGAGAAUCAUCCUCGUUUGCGCGUAGAAAAAAUUGUCAAAGUUGAGAAAAAGAAGGAUCCAGUGAACAAUCAGGUAAAGUGUACUAAUCUACAAACUCAUGUUGUGUAUACAGUGAAGAUGUGAACCUUUUCUUUUAUGUUUUGUAGUUGGCUGCAUCAUCUAGUAAAAUGGAGAGUCCUGGAAGUUUAAUUGAUGAUGUACCUUCUCAAAAGGCCAUUGAGGGUCCAGCUCCUAACUCUUUGGAAGCUUUGUUGUUUGGAUACUCUGAUCCUUCUGAGGACAAUCAGCCUUCAGCUAACCUUGAGACCCAGGAGGUGCCAAGAACACAGGACAGUGUUACCUCUGUUGUCACAGCACCUACAAUCUCGCACGCCGGUUCUUUAGAGCUAGCUCUUCUACCUGAUGCUGCUGAUAACUUAAAUACAAAAGAUAUGGUUACAACAAGUGCAGCUGAAAAUAACCAGGUUGGUGUCUGAGAUAGUUUUUAAACACUCAUUUACAAAGAACCAAAAGUAAAAGAUUAUUAUGCUAAAUGUUUUGUUCAUGUGCUAACACAGGUGGAGUCAUCUACACUACCUAAGGAACCAUCAGAUACCUCUAUGGAACAAUCAACACUAGCUAUCACAAAUUAUGCUUAUGGAGAUCAUCAAGAAGAGACAAAAUCUAGUGUAAGAAGUGCACUUCCUGAGGUAACAAGCACUUUUCUUUUAGUUUAUAUUGGAUUUACUCUUUUGGUGUCUACAGUCAUAAGAGUCUUAACCAUUGGCAGGACCUUUUCUCUGGAGGCUUCUCAUUUGCCUCUCCGCAAGUUCAUGCUCAACAUCAUGGCAUGGGAUAUGGCAUGCAAUAUUAUCAAUAUCCUAUGGUAUUUUAUUUGGCAUAAUUGAUAAAUUUGGAUCCGAUUAAUAGAUUUUGAGCUGAUCUUACAUGUGAUAUCCUUUUCUUGGUAGGCUACUGGAGCCUUUCCAUACACGGCAAAACCAUCAUCAAAUCCCUUUGAUGUCAGUUAUGAUGAUACAUGUCCAAACCAAACACCACAAGUAUGAAACCUACUUCAUUAACAUCAUCACAACAUUGAUGUCUCACCGAAUGUACACCCGAUAACAUGAAGGCCAUGCAGAAGGUACCAUGAUGGUUUAAUGCAUGGUUCUGGUAAAUUGUUUCGUUUAUUGUGUAUCUCACACACUUGUUUGUUUUAUUUGAACAUCAGGUUAUGCAGAAGAGAUCUAGGCAUGGAAUCAGCUCAGGAUUUGUUUCUAGAAGAUCGUCAUCCGUUGAAGCCUUGCCCAUAUCUGCUUGCUACAAGAAGCAAAGCACGCCCCCAUUUGCACUGCAUUUUACUUCACGACCACCUACACUGUUCCUCAAUUUACACCUGGAAAUGGUGAGAGAGUUGGGUCAAGAUUCAGCCGAAUGCCUAGGAACUGAACGUAAUUUAGUAACAGAUGGAGGUUGUGAUCUGGCAGAUAGCGGACCAACUACCACUUCUUCCAGAGGGCAGGAAGCGCAAGAGUCAGGAGACCUUCAUGACACUCAAAGGCAGCAUCUAGGGUUUAAUUCUGAAAACGGGAUGUCAUGCAGCUCUUCUGUUGUCAGACAUAAGCACGAAACCAGGUCUAACGUUGCGAUGAAUGGCAUUAAUAUUCAAGUUCCAGUAUCUGAUCAUUCUGAAGAUGGUGCUCUGCAGUCACGUAAUCUUGCUUCGAAUAUUCAAGGUAGCACCUCAAGUCCCAAGGCCACUGCCCCAAGAAGUAUGUGGCAACGAAGCAAAAGUUCUUUAAAUGGCCAUCUCUCACAUGGUUGGUCGGAUUCAAAGGGAGAGUUUCUGCACACUAAUUUGGGAAGUGGACCUAAGAAGCGACGUACCCAGGUGUCAUAUUCAUUACCUUCUGGGGGUUCAGAUUCAAGAAACAAAGGUUCCCUGCACAAGGGGCUUCCAAACAAAAGAAUUAGAAGGUCUGCUGCUGAUGUUUCCGUACGUCGUCAGAAAGAUUUGGAGUCUAGUUUCUGUGAUGCCAAUGUGUUAGUCACUCUUGGAGACAGAGGGUGGAGAGAAUAUGGAGCUCAGAUUUUCCUGGAGCCGUUUGAUAAAAACGAAUGGAAACUUGCCGUGAAAAUAUCAGGGGCAACAAAAUACUCACACAGGGCACAUCAAUUUCUGCAGCCUGGGUCGACAAACAGGUUUACACAUGCUAUGAUGUGGAAAGGAGGAAAAGAUUGGACCCUAGAAUUCCCUGAUAGGGGCCAGUGGUUUCUUUUCAAAGAGAUGCAUGAAGAGUGCUACAAUAGAAAUACCAGGGCUGCUUUAGUUAGAAAUAUUCCUAUUCCUGGAAUCCGUAUGAUAGAAGCAGAUAGUUCUGAUGGAACAGAAGCUGAGUUUAUCCGCAGUUGUUCUAAAUAUUACAGGCAGACUGAAACUGAUGUUGAGAUGGCAUUGGAUCCUUCACGUGUUUUGUAUGACAUGGACAGCGAUGAUGAGCAGUGCCUUGCGAGAAUUCGUGAGUGUUCGGAUGCUGAGAAUAGUGCUUCUUGUGAGAUGAGUGAGGACAUGUUUGAGAAGGCGAUGGACAUGUUAGAGAAGGCUUCAUAUGUAAAGCAGCGUGAUCACUUUACCUCAAUCGAAAUUCAAGAACUGAUGGCCGGUGUUGGAUCCUUGGAAGCAAUGGAAACAACAAUAUAUGAACACUGGAGAACAAAGAGGCAGAGGAAGGGAAUGCCACUAAUCAGGCAUCUUCAGGUAUGAUCUCUAAUGCCUUUCCAUCUUUUUUUCUUGUCAAAACCUGCAUUGCUAGGUGCUAUAUAGAUAUUUAUGUACUUGGGUGAAACGCAGAUUUUUGGACAGUAGGGCUAGUUGUUUUAUAUACUACGUAGUUUGUAGAUUACUCUCAAUUGUUGGCUCAACAAUGAUGUAGUUAUUCUGCUGUAAUAUGUUUCUGCAAGAACACUUGCGCCUUAUAUAAACACUUGUUUUUGUACAUCUUCAUUUCAGCCACCUCUGUGGGAAAAGUAUCAACGAGAGGUUAAAAAGUGGGAGUUGGUUAUGAGCAAAGCAAACACUCCAAACUCGAAUGGGUCGUCACAGAUGAAAGAAUCACCUGGUGAGAAGCCAGCGAUGUUUGCUUUCUGUUUUAAGCCUCGAGGUUUGGAAGUCAAGCACAGGGGAACAAAACACCGGUCACAUCAGAAGAAGCUAUCGGUUUAUGCUCAUCAACAUAGUACUGCUCUGGGAAAUUAUGAUGCUUAUAAUUCAUCUGGUAACCCUCUUUUACCUGCUUUGUUUUCUAAAAUCCUCUAUGGACUCUGCUGGUUCUUCUCUAUAUGAGUUGUCUUUCAUUUAUUUAGCAGGAAGAAGAUGCGUUGGUCUCGCCUCUGGAGAUGAGAGGUUUGUAUAUUCAAACCACCACCACUACGAGCAUUCGGAGGAUUUUCCGAGUCAUCCAGGGACGUAUUCUCCACGUGACCUAGGCAUGGGAUAUUUCUCGAGCGGUGGGAAUGGAUGUCACCAAAACAAGUCUCAGAGAAUCAACGGGAAGAGGAACAUGAGUGAACGAUGGAAUGCAAGAGGCUAUUAUGAAUCCCCCGGUUCCAGUCUUGUUUGUCUUGAUGCGGAAGAGUUACAUAGUAGUAGUAGUAGGGAUACUGAUGAGUACAAACUGCGAGAAGCAGCUGGUGCUGCAAGGAGGGCGUGGGCUAUAGCCAAGGUCAAGCGAGAAAGAGCAGAGAGAUUGAGGUACAAAGCAGAUCUAGCCAUCCAGAAAGCUGCAGCUGCUCUCAUGUUUGCAGACGGUAGCAUGGGGAGACGGCACUGCAACGUAAAUAAAUCAUUUUAAAAAAAUAAAUUUAAAUUCUGCAACUGUUGCUGUGUUUAGUUUUUUUGAUCAGCUAGGGAACAAGGUUUGAAUUGAAUAUCAUGUUGCUAUUGUAGCGUAUAAUUACAAUAUCUUGUGUUAUUAGAAAGAUCAAAAUCAGAAUUUAAGUAAAAUGGUCUUGAAGCAUACGUUUUUAUUCAUGGCAUAUGUUAAACCGAUAGUUGUUAAUAAAAUAAGAAGGGUGUUUUCUCUUGAUAUGUUGUUAUGGGACACUAAUAAUUUUAUUUCUUAUUCCAAUCUAAAAUAAGACUGUGUAGAUCAUUUGUGUCUGUUUGGUAAAUCAAAUGAACAAAACAAAACAAACAUUACUUGCGUUUUAAGGCGGAUCUACCCUAAUGGUUUAAGAGUUAUAUAAGUCGUUUUGGUUAUCUACAUGAAAUGAGAGAGUGAGAAGAGAGACUUCAACGGCGGGAAAGCUUUCAAGACAGCAGUUUUUCAGGAGAAUGUCUCCUUUCUUUUGCUGGCUCCUUCUCUAUUUUUGCCAUCUCUGUAACCUGAGAGAGACAGAGAUCAUCUUCUUGUCACCUCCAUUCUUUUUUCCCUGGCUGUUUCAUCUUUAUUUCUUCUGUAAGGUUUCUCUCUUCUCUUCUUUUUAGGUUUUGCAAUACCUUAUAGCACAAGGAAUUAAAAAACCUCAAGAUUCUCGUCUUUUAUGUGCGUUUGUAUCCAACAGAGGAAACGAUUAGGAAGAAUUUUGAUUCUGUGUAACGUAAUGAGUUUCCGGAAACAACAAUCUUGCAACUUUUUAUCUCAUAUGAAACUUUUUUUUUUUUGGUGAUCUUCUCAUAUGAAACUUUCAAGAUUGAAACAUGCACCAGAGAAUAACGUUAAAAUUCUUUUGGCUUAAGAUGGUGUUUUUUUUGUUCCUCUGUUCUUUCUCAGGUGAUUUGGUAAUGAUGGCAUUGCUAUUUGAUAGGAUUUCUCAUUUGAGAUAAUUGAUUUUCUUGAUAAGAGUGGGAAAGUUUUUUGCCAACAAUGGGGAGCAAGAUGAAGGAAGACGAGCGAACUGAAAAGGCUAUCAGGAGUUUGCUGAAGCUUCCCGAGAAUCGAAGAUGCAUCAACUGCAACAGUCUGGUAUGUUGGCCAGGAACCAUCUUUAAUUCUUCUUUUUAAUAGUUUAUAUAAAAACAUGCUUAUCAAGUCAACUAUAAAUGGCUCAAUGUAGCUGGUUUCUUUUAUUAAGUUUUCGGAUAAUCUGAGUCUUGCAGGGUCCACAAUAUGUCUGCUCAACGUUCUGGACUUUUGUCUGCAUCAACUGCAGCGGAAUCCAGUAUGUAUUUUCUCUCGAGGUUCCUCAUUUGAACUUGAAAAGUGUUGUCCCAUAUCAUGUGUGUAAGACCUCUUUUUCUCCUUGUGUAUAUGUCUAGUCGAGAGUUUACACAUCGUGUGAAAUCUAUAUCAAUGGCCAAGUUCACGGCAGAAGAAGUUAGUGCACUUCGUGCAGGAGGAAACGAGGUUUGUGUAAUGUUAGAACAAUUGUUAUCUUUAUAAACUUCCAUAGUGAUAUGUUUUGCUUUGUUUCUUUGCAGCGAGCCAGGCAAAUUUAUUUUAAAGAAUGGGAUACUCAGCGUGAUGCUUACCCUGAUGCCAGGUUCAUGGACAUUUUAUUAAAUCUCAGACCGAUUUAAAACACUAAGAGGAGUAGCAUUACUUUAUAGUUUUUUUUUUUCUGAACCGAACUAUUAUUAACGUUAAAUACUUUAUAGUUAAACCUCAUUUUUUUUCUUUCUUCUUGUUCAGUAACAUUUUCAAGCUCAGAGACUUUAUCAGAAGUGUCUAUGUGGAUAAAAGAUACAGUAGUGAGAGCAAUGACAAGAUCUCACAGCAAAAACCGGUACACUGCUUUUCUUAGAUGCUUCAUUUUCUUUUCUUUUUUUGUCAACUACCCAUACAAUCAUGUCAAGUUGAACCGCCGGGUCUCAUCUACAUGGGAAAAAAUGACUUCUCGGUUCCUAGCCUCCUUUGCUAGGGAAUCUGCAUGAACAUUUUCUCAACUUAGCCAAAUCUAAAGCUAAUUAUGGGACAGUUGUACUAUAUGCUCCAAUGUUGAAGACGUGCCCUAUUUACACAGUUUUCAAUUUUUUUACAAGUUUGUUCUGUUUCCACUCAGGCUGUGACUGAUGAUUACAAGGAAAGCAAGAAGGCCAGUGCAAACUUCUUGGGAUCUAGAAGCUUUCACUCUGUUGAUAAACUUGAAAUAAAGAGUGGAAACAGAUCUCUUAAGUAUUAUUUUGAAGGCAAGGAACCUAAACAACAACAACAACAACUUGUUACACAUAACCCAAAGUCUAGAGCCUUACCAAAGAGUCCUAUCCGCUUUGAGAUUGUUGACGAUAGGUACAGAGACGAUGGAAGUGUUAAGAGAUACGAUGC
Molecule: long non-coding RNA, 6605 nt
Filed under: Brassica napus (rape)
Lineage: Eukaryota; Viridiplantae; Streptophyta; Magnoliopsida; Brassicales; Brassicaceae
Description: long non-coding RNA (BNAP_LNC000046)
Source: RNAcentral